GUGGGGAGCCGGUCUUGCAGCAGCGGGUGAGUUUCCCUGUGUCUAGAUUAGAUCCGCUUCCAGCGCUUCUGUACCCGGUGUUGGCGGAGGGGUUCCUACGGAUCUUCAAAUCCUCCCGCCGUUCCCUCCACCCUAGGUAAAUUAAUACAUCGCCAAGAAAUUCGGAGGUUAAAAUCGCUCGGAGGCUGCUGGUCCUGUCCCUGAGCUCUCUGCCUUCAGGCCACGUAGACGCUUUUCUUCCCGUUUACCUGUUUAAAACCCUUUACUGACCACUUCUUCGGUUCCGCGUCAUGUAAAAGUCCUCACCCCUGAGGUGUAUUCAUGCCCGGUGGGUCCUCCAAGCCUCGCCCUUCUGGCCCCUUGGAGCUCAGUCCCGCAGUCUCAAUGCAUCAGCGCCUUGUUCUCUGCCCGGCCCUGGGAUUUUGGAAACCCCACCCCUCUCCUAAUCCACCCCCGACCUUGUCCUCCUUGGGCUGGGCCCUUCUGUUCCCCAAGUUUCCCCUUCACAACCCACAUUCCUUACGCCGCAAUGAGGGAGGUGACGGGGCCUGGCUUUUGACACUCAGUGUUUUUCCGUUCCAAAUUGCACCCGCUGGAAAAUGUGCUCUUCCAGAGGAAAAACGAUUGAUUUAUUAUUUCCUCUUCUGAAACUCAACACAAUAGUAAACACUGAACCCAGAAUACUUCACCUGUGGUCACCGAAUGUGUGGGGAUUUCUCCCCACUAACAAGCAGUUCUCUAUCAGACACCAACUCGGUGUCCCAUAAUUUACCUUAUUUCUGACAGCCUUGCUCCCUCUGCUGCAGCUACACAGACCUCAUUCCUUUUCCUGGAGCUGAGGUUGCUCCUGUCUCAGGGCCUUCACCUGGGCUGUCCCUCUGUCUAGGACUCUCUAGCCCCUCGGUUGCAGGUGACAAACAUCCUUCCUUUUCUAGGCCUGGGUUCUGAUAUCACCUUCUCAGUGAAGGUUUAUGUGACCCUUCCCCUGUCACACCCUCACCUGCUCUGGCCAAUAUUGCCUCCCCUAGAUGUUUCUUUCUGCUCCUUUGCUGUCCACUGUCUGGAUCCUGGUGACAACAAGGACCCAAGCGGAGAGCAGAGCCAGAAGGUAGGGGUUGUUCUUUUGCUCACUCUGAGUUUAGCUCAACCCUGGCUUCACAUUAGAAUGCUGAGACAUUUUGCAAAUAUAUCUCUUGUGCCUCCUUUCCAGAGAUUCCCAUGCACAUAGGUUCAAGCGCAGUGUCCCACAUGAUUCUAAUCUGUAUUCAUCACUGAACAUCAGGGUGCUGUGUCUUCCAUUUCUGAAAGCUGAUAUCAGCCUGUGAUCCACGGAGAGGGGAGAGGCUGUGGUCUGCAUGGGGUUUGGUCAGGGCCAGAUCUGUGCCCUGAAGGGGAGCUCAGUCCAGCCCCGCACCCCACUGCUGCAGCAUGUAUGUGGGCUUCUCCAGGACGGGAGUAAGCUUUGAAGAACUCAAAAACUGACUUGUUCUUCCUGUAGGACUUUCUUGUCUGCAUCAUCCCUGGUGCUAUGGGCAGCAGAGGGCCAUCUUUCCACAGGGUGAGGUCUUUCCUGUGUGUGUGGUUGUGGCACAGGGAGGGGUGUGUUGAUUUUGAGCAGUAAACAGCAUAUUUUGAACACUCAGGAUUAACUUGUUUUUUAAAAAGUUUUCUUUUUCUUUUUCUUUCAGGAUUAGCUUCUAAAGUCUCUUUCAUCUCUCCUAAGGAAGCCUAGAAGAGGAGGAAGAGGAAAGAAAAGGAAUCAGGAAUGGCUCUUAGGUACAGUGAUAUUCUCAGUGGACUGUUCUGUGUCUCCUUCCUUUCUGAAAUGCCACGUGUGGUGUUAUGAUAUAUAUUGGUUUCCAUCGACGGUUCCUGGCUUAUAACCUCCAUAGCCCUUGUUACAAUAAUGUUGGAUGUGUUAAGCCUCAGGGGCAGGCCUCUGACCUUCUUUUGCCUUCCUUUCACUCUGAUGUUCCCCAGCCUUUCUAAUUGUGGGUCUUAAGACCCUCCUCUGAGAGCUUCCCACCCUGUACCCUGGGGGGAAGGAUGUUGAUGUCAUGAAACUUCCAUAAAAACCCAAAGGGCAAAGUUCGAUGAGCUUCUGGAUGGCUGAACAGAUGGAGGUUCUUGGAGGUAGUAAGCCCGGUGGGGCAUGGAAGCCCUGCACCCCUUCCUCCAUACCUUGCUGUAGGUGCCUCUUCAUCUGUAUCCUUUGCAGUAUCCUUUAUAAUAAACUGGUAAAGGUAAGUAAGUGUUUCCCUGAGUUCUGUAAGCCAAUCUAGCAAAUUAAUUGAACACAAAGUGGGGGUCAUGUGAACCCCAGUUUGAAGCUGGGUGGUCAUAAGUUCUGAAGGCCUGGACUUGCAACUGGUGUGUGUGGAGGCAGUCUUGGAGACUGAGCCAUCAACUCGUGGGAUCUGACGCUGUCUCCAGUCUUAAUGUGCACAGUAGACAGUGUUGGAAUUAAAUUGGAAGAUACCCAGCUAGUGUCUGCUGCUUGGUGUGUGGGGAAAGUACCCACAUACUUUUAGUCACAGAGGUCUUCUUCUGUGUUGAUGAUUGUUGUGGUGUGAGAGUAGAGAAAAAGCACAAUUUGAGGAGAGCUUUUCCCUGUACACAUCAGGCAUUGGAGAUGUCAAUCUUCUCUGAGUCUGAAGCAUCCUGCCUGUCAUGUUUGCUCACACUCACCCAUGUCUUCCCUCAGUCCCUCUGAUGUCACUUAAAUUCCAUCUCACAGUGACCGGUGGUGUGGAAUUUGUGAAGAGGCUCCACUGGGAAGGACUUAUACCCAGACAUGGAUGGAGACAGGGUGUGGGCCCCAUGGUGUCACUGCUCUCGGGCAGCUGGGAUUGAAGGAUUGUUUAAGAGCCAGGUCUGGAUGCACUGCCAGCUCUGUAGACCGGAUUAUGGAAGCUGCACAUGGAAGUCUCAAUGUGCACAACUGCCUGAUAAAAUUUGGAAGAAGAGAUUAGGAAGAGGAAAUCUUUUCUGCCUGAUUUUAUACUCCAUUUGUAGUAAACAUUUAACAGCAAGAGAUUCUUUAAACCAUUCUAAGUACAUCCAUCCUAUGGAGAUUGUGGUAUUCCUGCAGACUCUUGUGAAACAGAUGUUUCAGGUGAAAAUGGUAAGACUUGGGUAAUACUUCUUCUAGGAUGGGGCAUUUCCUAUUUUCUUAGAUCUUGCAAGGUUCUCCUGUUAUCCCCAGCUGCAGGGGUACCUCUCCCACCAAGAACAUGUGAAAUUUCCCCCUCAUUUGAAAAAAAAAAACCAAUUUGCUACUAUGUUUAUAUAUAUAUAUUUUGAAAAUCUGGGAAAAAUGACAACCCUCUGUAUUUUCAUUUUCCAAUUUAUUGUCAGUCUACAUAGGUUUUAUUAUUUUGGGGACAUGUAUAUACAAAAUGAAUUUUCAUGCUUUGCUCAAUUUUCUUUCCAUGUAUUUUAGUAUCUGUUUUAAUUUCUGUGGUUUUUAUUCAUUACAUAUGCCCUGAUGUCUUUUAUUUUAGGUUAUACAUUUUUUAAUUGUAAGACAAAUCUUUCAUUUAUACCUUCUGAUUUUUGUUGUGCCUUUGUUGGUUUCAUAUUGAUUUGGAAGGCCUUGUGUGAUUAUUAAGUACUAAGUUUCAUUUAGGAAUAAAGUUUUGUUGUUUAAAAUUUU
RNAcentral lists this small RNA (3655 nucleotides) under Pongo abelii (Sumatran orangutan). Its description in RNAcentral is "processed transcript". Lineage: Eukaryota; Metazoa; Chordata; Mammalia; Primates; Hominidae. The record is from RNAcentral.